GACGAACGCUGGCGGCGUGCCUAAUACAUGCAAGUAGAACGCUGAAGGAGGAGCUUGCUUCUCUGGAUGAGUUGCGAACGGGUGAGUAACGCGUAGGUAACCUGCCUGGUAGCGGGGGAUAACUAUUGGAAACGAUAGCUAAUACCGCAUAAUAGUAGAUGUUGCAUGACAUUUGCUUAAAAGGUGCAAUUGCAUCACUACCAGAUGGACCUGCGUUGUAUUAGCUAGUUGGUGAGGUAACGGCUCACCAAGGCAACGAUACAUAGCCGACCUGAGAGGGUGAUCGGCCACACUGGGACUGAGACACGGCCCAGACUCCUACGGGAGGCAGCAGUAGGGAAUCUUCGGCAAUGGACGGAAGUCUGACCGAGCAACGCCGCGUGAGUGAAGAAGGUUUUCGGAUCGUAAAGCUCUGUUGUAAGAGAAGAACGAGUGUGAGAGUGGAAAGUUCACACUGUGACGGUAUCUUACCAGAAAGGGACGGCUAACUACGU
Molecule: ribosomal RNA, 494 nt
Filed under: uncultured bacterium
Lineage: Bacteria
Description: partial 16S ribosomal RNA
Rfam family: Bacterial small subunit ribosomal RNA
Source: RNAcentral